This 215-nucleotide long non-coding RNA is filed under the name Elaeis guineensis (African oil palm). RNAcentral's name for it is "long non-coding RNA (EGUI_LNC007470)". Lineage: Eukaryota; Viridiplantae; Streptophyta; Magnoliopsida; Arecales; Arecaceae. The record is from RNAcentral.
UUCACCAAGUCAGACCAGGGUGGACUAGAAACAAAUCGAUCCAACCGACAAGUCAUCAAUCCUCCCACCGACUUCAUCAAGUCAUGUUGAGGAUAAAGAUAAAUCGAACUAGGGGCAACUAAAUCAGUCAAACUAAUUUUCUAGUAGGCAUGGAUCAAUCCUAAUCAUUAAGUGAUCUGAUCAAAACUUGAUUCACUAUAUUGGCCAGAUAAGUG